GAAGUUAUACUAUUUUCCAAAUUACAGCAUAGAAAUCUUGUAAAGCUUCUUGGCUGCUGCAUUCAGGGAGAGGAGAAAUUGUUGAUUUAUGAAUUCAUGCCCAACAAAAGCCUGAACUCUUUCAUUUUUGGUCUGGGUCCCUAUAACCUUAAAAUAAUCAGCUAGCUUGUGCCUUGAUUAUAGACGUUUCUUAUGUUAUUUCAGAAAAUUUUGUACUAACCUUAAUGCGGUAAUUUGUAGAUCAAGAAAGAUGUAAGAUAUUGGAUUGGUCCAAGCGUUUCCACAUUAUUUGUGGGACUGCUAGGGGUGUUAUGUACCUUCAUCAAGAUUCUAGAUUGAGGAUUAUACAUCGAGAUCUCAAAGCAAGUAAUGUGCUACUCGAUCAAGAUAUGAAUCCAAAAAUUUCAGAUUUUGGUUUGGCAAGAGCUUUUAGUGGAGACGAAACAGAAGGAAACACAAAAAGAGUGAUUGGAACAUAGUAAGUACUUCUUGUCAAGUGAUCUUUACGAUUCACUUGUACUGAUUAAUAAAAAUUAACUGAUUUAUUUUCAUAUUUUGAAGUGGCUAUAUGGCACCAGAAUACGCUAGUGAUGGGCAAUUCUCAGUAAAAUCCGAUGUCUUCAGCUUUGGAAUUUUAUUGCUGGAGAUAAUAAGUGGAAAGAAAAAUAGAGGAUUUUAUCAUUCCGACAACAAGCUUAACCUUAUAGGACAUGUAGGUAAAAUGCAUACGACAUUUUCUAACAUAAUUUGAACUAAAAAACUAUAGAUGAUAAAAGAGUUUUAAUAUGUUGUAGGCAUGGAAGUUGUGGAACGAAGGCAUGCCUUCACAAUUAAUCGAUCCGUGUAUUCAAGGCUCAUUCAAUCUUGCUGAAGUGAUACGAUGCAUCCACAUCGGUUUGUUAUGCGUGCAACAGCAUCCAAAGGACAGGCCAAGCAUGCCCUCAGUGAUUUUGAUGUUGGGCAGCGAGACUGUGUUGCCUCAGCCAAAGCAACCCGGUUACUUGGCGGACAGGAAAUCUACCAGACAAGAUUAUUCAUCAAGCACGCCUGAAUCAUGUUCAACUAAUACAAUUACGAUCUCUGAGUUGGAGGGUCGGUAGAGAAUCUAUUUGUGGUAUCAUGCCUUGUUCUACAUUGUCAAGUGCAAAAGCAGUAAUAUGUCAACCAAAUGGAAAGUUAAGAUAAAUGAUUGGACAAAAAAUGAUGAGGAUCAUCCAGUGAAUGCAUGUUGUGGAUCUAAAAGUUCAGAGGACAGGCCUAUUCGGCAGCUGACUACUUGGCCAAAAAUGCAGGCUCUAUACCUCUCGGAUUUCAUGUUUAUCAUGAACCUCCUGUAGGUCAUGAUCCUUGGCUUUGUUAUGAUAUGUAUGGGACAAUGAUUCCCCAUUCGGUUGUGUCUUAGCUUGGCUAAGCCUUUUUUUGGUAAAAAAAAAAAAAGAAUGUAGACUAAUGUUCAUAUAGAAAUUGUAAAUUAGAGGUACUGUGAGCAGUGUUGGGUCCAAAAAAAUGAUUAACCGAGAAUUAAAUUAAGUAAAAGCAAGACAUUAUUGAUUCCCUUCAUUCCUGUAAACCCGCCGAAUUGUUCUUUCCUAAAUUAACUCAAGCAUUAAUUUUCUUUUUAGAACAAGAAAGAUAAAAUUUGUGAUUGGUGGAGUGGUUAAUUAUUAUUUUUGAUAAAUUUGAAUCUAUUUUUGAAAUAGAAAAAUGUUUUGGGUUGUGGGUCAUUAUUAUUUUUAAAUAAAGCGUGAGUUUCAAAGUUCAAGUUAAAAUUUAAAUUUUGUAGAUUUAUGAAUGUAUAGAGGCUAUUUUAAUAGAUUGAUGAAGGUUAAUUAGAAGGAAAAAGCUAUUUCCCCUGAAUUUAAUCCGGAAUUGCGCCCCGAAUUAGAAAAACGACGUCGUUUUGAUUCAAUUGAAAACGCUGCAUCAGAAACCACACUCACGCAGUCUCUUAGGGUCCGUUUGGUAUUGUUUCUGAAUUUGAAUUUUCUAAGAAUAAAAAUGAAAAUGAAAAUAGUGUUUUGCAGUUGUUGUAUUUUGAAUUUAAAUAUGCGUUUGGUAUCAUUUUCUGUAUCCUAUAUUUCUAAACUGAAAACAGUAAUAUGCGUGUGGUAGAUAUAGUUGAAAAUGAUAAAACCAAAUAAUAUGCGUUCGGUAAUACCUUUUUCAAAAACAGUUUUUACUAAGCAUUUUAAGUUAUAAUUAUAGUUAGAAAAUAAUUGUGACAAUAUUACAUACACGAAUAUACCAUAAUAAUUUAAGCAAAAUUAUUAUAAAAAAUUAAAUAAUGAUAAAGUUUUAUAAUUACCAUUAAUUAAAAAAAAAGUUUUACAUUGUCAUUGUUUUUAUACUAUAAUUAAGAUGUAUAUUGCAACACAUGAUUUAAACAAAAUAAUUAUAAAAAAUUAUAUAGUACACAUUAUGCAUUAUGUGUAAUCGUGCCUCAUAGAAGCUGCAAUCUCAUCUCUUAUAGCAUUCAUCUCUGCGACAUUAGCUGGUAACCAAAUCUUGCUAUCCUCACCACCAACAUCAUGUGGAUCCAUAUCUUGUUACUAUAAAAUUAGAAAAAAUAACAUAUAUCAAAUAUUAAUGAAAUUAAAGAAACUACUUCUAAACAUACAUAGCUCAAACUUUUGAAAUUAAUCAAAUUCAACAUAGCAUGAAAGCCAUUUUACCAAUAUGUCAUAGAUUAAAAAUUCAACAGUCCAAAAUAAAAAAUAUUCCAAUACAACUUCACCAAUUCAAAUUAAUGGCAUAAACAAAAACAGAUAUAUGUAUUCUGCAUCCUUAACACAAAUACAAUGCUAUUCGGCAAUCAUCAUUUUCCCCAAAUAUAUUUAUCUGAAAUUACAAUUUCCAGCUUGCAUUUCGAUUCAAUGACAGAGAGAAAAUAUUAAAACUCAUAAUGACCAAGCACACAAAGCAACAACAUAGCAACAAUUAAAGCAGCAAGACAAAUCCCCCAAUUCCAGUUCAUCGCUGCCUUUUUUUUCAUUCUGCAAACAAAAUCAAAGUGUACCAAAAAUAUUUUUACACGGUUUUGCUUUCAAAUCAACACAAUUACUCAUAAUCUAAAAUAAUUACUCAAAAUUAUUAAAACUCAUAAUAACAAAGCACACGAAGCAACAACAUAACAACAAUUAAAUCCCCCAAUUCCAGUUCAUCGCUUCCUUUUUUUUCCAUUCCGCAAACAAAAUCAAAGUGUAGCAAAACUAUAUUCACACGGUUUUGUUUUCAAAUCAACACAAUUACUCAUAAUCUAAAACAAUUACUCAAAAUUAUUUUGGCUUGAAUAGAGGGAAUACACAAUUAACAUGCUUUAAAAAAAUCUCGCAAAAUUAUUCAAACAAUUACUGAAAUAAAAAAAAUUACCAGCAAGCUGAGAGAGAUGCAGCAGUUCAGUCGAUCAAGUAGGAGCGGCGGUGGCUACACGGAGAUGGACAGCAGUGGCUAUGCUCAAACGGAGCAGCAACGGCCACGACGGAGAGAGAACGGCACACCAAAGGACAACCGCGGUAGAGACGAAGUUGCAGCGGCGGCAGAGAAAGUGUUGUUGGAGGGAGAAAAGGAGAGAGAGAGCGGGUAGAGAGAAGACUGCUACCGAAGAAAAGGAUGAGGAGAUAAGGAGAGAGAAAAUGUUGUUGGAGUAAGAAAAGGAGAAAGCACUGCUGCCGUGACUAGAUCGAUAACGAUGGCAGGGAGGGGGGGUGACCAGAUCGAGAACAAUGAGAGGGGGGAGAGGGUUGCUGCCGAAGAGAAUGAGUUUUGUUUCUUAAUCUAUUUUUGAGUUUAGUUUGUAAUAUUUAGGAAACAUGUUAAACACAUUUUCAUGUUUGUAGUUAUAACACUGGAUCUGAAUUUGUUAUUUUGUGAUUUGUUUUUUGAAUCCAUCUCACCAAACAUAUAUUAUGUUUGUAUUAUGAAAACAAAAAUGAAAACAAUGGGUAAAAAACGCUACCAAGUUACUUUCCUUUUGACAAACCAAAGACUCCAACACAAAUAGCAAUCACACCCACAAAUAGCAAUCACCCAACGGCCACGCGAACAGCCGGUACAGACGACAGACCACCGCCAUCACGUGAUCGAGGGAGUAGAACUCACGCGGUGGUGCGUCCAAACUCCAACGAAAUCGACGACGACGGAGGUAGUUAGAGCCACAGUUCUUUCGAGCUAAAUCGCUGGUGUUCCUAUUGGUUUUCAGCGACGAGGAUGGCAAGGAAACGAUGGCCAACUUCCAAUCUUCAGAUCAAUACCUUGAUCGGCCGGUAGAGUGGUCGGGAUCGUGAAAUCCAACCGGGUCACGUUUGCAGGUCAAGUCGGGUUUGCGGGUCAACUUCUCUCCCUCCUCAUCCACUCACAAAGCGCCACACGGCUCCCCUUGGCCAGGUUGUUGCUGCUGGAAUUUGUUUUGCUGGAACCAUUACUGGUGCUAGAAUUGAUGCUCGAGUUGUUGCUGCUAGAAUUGUUUUUGCUGGAAGUGUUACUGGAAUUUUUUUUGCUAGAAGUGUUACUGGUACUGGAGUUGGUGCUCGAAUUGUUGCUGCAAUUUUUUUUCUUUUUUUUGUGUUUGUGUGUAUGAACUAGAGGUGGCAAAAAUAUAUGCCCGGUCUAGACCCAGAUCAUACCCGAGCGUUGUUAUUCGGCCCGGGUAUAAAGUUGGGUUGAUCUUAGGUAUCACUUGAUAAACCCGGAACCUGGAUUUUAUUAAAAAAAUUAUAAAAAUAUAUUAUUUUAAAUAUUUAUAUUUAUUUGACUCAUUUAUUAUACAUAUAUAAAGUUUUAAAUACUUAAAAUUUAUAUUUUCAUGUUAAAUUUUAUUGAAAUAAAUUUAAAACUUAUAAAAUUAUCAAAAAAUAAAAAAUAUAUACACAUACUGCUGUACCGUACAUCCGCCUUGGCCGUACAGCAGUAAGAUAUGCAUUCACAAAUCAGAAGCAACCCGGACCCGGCCCAGGGUUUUGCCAUCCCUAGUGUGAACUCCUGAUUGUUUUUUAUUAUCUUGGGCACUUGUUGCUGCUGAUAUGUGUGUGUGAAAUUGCUUCAAUGAAUUGAAUACAACAAGUGCCCAAGUCUUGUUGGAAUCAACAAGUCUUGCUGCUGGAAUUGUUGCUACCGUUAGUGUUGCUGCAAUGAAUUGAAGAAGCAACGUCGUUCGGUUUAAGUGACCGUUUUAAAACUCACACACAUGUGCUGCACAGUUGCAAUUAAAAAGGAAAAGUGACCGUUUUAAAACACAGCGUUUUGGCAAAUUCAGAGUUAAGUUCGGGGCAUAUAGCAGCGCUCUAAUUAUAAACCCAAAUGAUUUUUUCUUUUAUUUUUUUUGUCUUUCACAUGCUAAAUCCACCACCCUUACCGAUAAAAAUUGGGAUGAUUUAUUUUUAUCCUAAUGAUCAUAAUAAAAAUUUUAAAAAAUUUUUACUAUUUUAUCAAAAUUAUUAUUUAAAAAUCAUAUUUACCCCAAUUUUUUUUUUAACUACAAUGUUUGAGGGUGUAUUAUGAAGUGACCAGCUAUACCCUAAACGAGAAGUCGACCUUCUUAUAAGUGAGCAGACAUGUGAGGUCUGGUAUCAGGUAGCCAAAAGCAGGCAUUUUCUGCUCGAUUACAAGGACACCCUCUGCUAGACCUUAGCACGAGCAGGAUUCCUGCUAGAAACCGAGAGCCUUCCUGCUGGAGACCGGGGUCGACAGACCCAGUCCAUAACAGUUAACGGGUGUGCACUUCUAUUCGAAAAUCUAAGCACGAAAUCCACUCGGCCGCAACUACAAUAUUCAAGCAUCCACUUCCGAGAGCUGGGGAGGUGGUGAACGUGGGUCAUGGGGGGCUAAAUUUAUAGGAAGACUAUAAAAGAGGUAAUCAACGAAGGUAAAAAGGUUAAACACUUUUACAUAAAAAUUAAGAAAAAAAAAGCAUUCUAGGAAAAACCUGUGAAAAGCUCAUAGGUAUUUUAUUGCCUAGGGAGCCACGAGAUCAGUGGCAGAAUUUCUUAAAAAGUCAACCCGAAUUUCUAAUUUGAGCGUUGAAGGGUUUACACGAAGAAAACUUCCAGCGUGCUCUGACUAAUUUGUGUGCACAGGAGUUCGUCGAGAAGAAGUUGCAAGAGGCAUACCUCUAUUCGCCUAGAAGAGUAACAUGAAGUAUACUCGGUAGGCUGCAAGUUUAAGAGUUAAAAAGAGAUCCUGAUCGUAAAUGAGCAGAAACUAAAAUCUCGCAUCAAUAUAUAUAUAUAUAUAUAUUUUUUCACCACGACUAUAACUUUUAAUAUAACUUAGGUUAUCAAAAUUUUGAGCUUCAUUCAACCAACCAUAAAUCAUGAUUAAAGUCUACGUUGCGUAAGUCAAGAAAGACUUUAAUGGGAGAGAGAUCAUCUUUAUUAUCGACACUACAAAUGGACCCCAAUUAUAUCUAAAGUCUUUGGGCUCGUGUCCCGUUGUCUUCUUCUUUUUCAAAACCCUAUUUACUAACCAUUAAUUCGGUUGGUUGAUAAAUCCGGCGGUUUCUGAUUUUCUUAUUUAUUUUUAUGCGAGUGACCCCGUAACGAUAGCAUCGCAAUCUCAUGAAAAAAAAUUUUCCAAACGCAUGAAAAUUGGACACCCAUCAACAAAAAUCUUUUUGUUACAGUAUUUACUGUACUUUCAAAAUUUUAAACAUGACAAAAAUUAAGUAAUCUACUUAUCAUAAUAAUCUAUGACCAAAAAUAUUGAACAUGUAAUUUUUUUUUUUUUUGUAAUUAUACACGCACAUCACUCUUUUACGAUUAAUUGACUAAACAAGUAUGAUAAACGAUUUUAUAAUGGAUUGUCUCAUAAUCUAAAUUUAUCAAAUAUUUUAAUGGUGAGACUAUUCGAAUUGAAUCCAUAAAAUUCUUUUAAAAUUUUCUUUACAACUUAUAACAUACUUUUUAGAAAGUCUAUCGAGUACUUAUUUAAAAAUUUUAUUUCAAUAGAUAUCAAGAAAAAUUAUUUGGUUAAGAGAAAUGAGCCCCUUUUGAGUUGGUGAAGCAUGAGCUCAUCACUAGGCAAUCCAUCAAAUUAUUCAAUAAACACAUUUACCCCACACAUCUAUAAUUAAUUAGAGGGAUGGAAUCAUUUGAACUUAUUAAAUUUCUCUUAACAUCCAUUUAUUUAACAUAUCCCCUAUCAAAAUCUUAAAAUUAAAUUUUAAUAAACCUCUUAAUACCCCACAAAUAACCGUUUUAUGGUUGGUGCAAUAAUUUAGAUAAUUAAAUUAUUUAUUGUUUUUGGUAAUUUUUAUUUAAGAUUAUUUUUGUAAUAUAAUUUUUUAUUUAAAAAUAGGUCUAAGGUGCAUUUUUAUGGGGCCCAAACGACCUUAAAAUUAGAAAAAUUAAAUUUUACCAUAUAAAAGCAAAACCUCUAGUACUUCCUAAAGUAUCCUUCAUUAGAUUUCUUUUUUUAAUUCUAUUAUUUUCUCUCUCCUAAAGAAGUUGCUGUAUCCUUUCUGGUAAGAUGCUCUGUUCAGGCUUCAAUGUUGUUGGAUUGAAUUGGCAACUGAACUCGAAUCAAUUCUCAUGCAAGGGUUGGGGAAUUUGCUCAACUUAUAAUUGGUAGGUUUAUGCCUUUGGGAUCAAACUCAUUUCGCCUCUCCAAGAAUCUGCAAAAUUAAUUUGUAUUAUCAUGUCGGCGCUGCUUAUAAUUAGUAGUGCUUGCAUUGCCCUGAAUUCAGGCAUUGCUUGAGUAGAGUUGGGCUUGCUGAUUCAUUUUAGUGACAAAUGAAAACAUUAAAAAAAAAAAAUCAGGACUUGUUCGUCCAAAUUUACAGAUAUUUUGUUCUUUAAUUAAUUUUAUUAUAACAAACAAUAGGAUAGCAGUGUUGUUUAACCAGUUGCUUACACCUUGGCAAUAUAGCUUUGUGUUUUUUUUUUCUUUUUUCUUAUUCAUAGAGAUGUCAAAUUCUCUAUCUUCACCAUAAUUCUAGAUUGAGGAUUAUACAUAGAGAUCUCAAAGUAAGUAAUGUGUUACUUGAUAAUGAGAUGAACCCAAAAAUUUUAGAUUUGUGUGAGAUGGCACUGUUCACAUUAUUUUUUUAAUUUCUUUAAUUAAAAUAACAAAACUAAAUAAAAAUGUAUAAUAUUUAAUAAAAUUAAAAAUUCAAGUAUGUUGCCGCUAGUGCUGAUGAACUACUAGCGAAAGUUCGACGGCGGCUAGCCACAGGUGGCUACUGCAUGACAUCAUGUUUUACCCUAAAAUUUGGUAUCAUUAAAAUUCUCAUUGUCGGGGCUUCACAGUAAUGCCAAAACCUUGAAUGUAGAUCGAUGGUGAAUGAAAAUUCCUUUGCCAAUGAUAGUUGACCAUUGCAUAGCCCUAAUAAUAAUGAUUCUAAUGGUAUCAAAAUAUAGUUCAAAUGGUACUAAAGUGGGAUGGUCAAGGUGAAAAUUUUUUAUUUUGAUUAUAAAAUUUUAAAUUAUUAAUUGAAUAUAAAUAAUAAUAGAAUAUAAAUGAAACUUUGAUUAUAAUUUAAUAUAAAUAUUAAAAUAGAAAUUAUUAUUUUAAAUAAUACAAUGCAAGCUACAUCAAACACCAUAUUGUAUUACAGCUUAAUACAAUAUAAUAUAAUACAAUAUAGUAUGUCAAACGCACCCAUAAAAAAAAAUUCAAAAUCACAAGAUUUAUUUGGUGGGCUUUACCUGCAUUAUCCUCAGUUUACUUUUUGAGUCAAAUAAACAAUAGGCCCCAGAGACUUUUUAGUUCAUCAUGCUAUUGCUUUAGAUGUACAUACAACUAUAUUGAUCUUGGUAAAGUGGACAGUUUACUUUUUGCGUCAAAUACUAUGUUGGGAUUAAUUUUUUAUAAAAUUAGUCUAUUCCACUGUCUUUAACUGCAUCCAAACAUACCCCAAUGGUUAACUAUGAGAAAAUUUAAUAAGACUAGCAAUUUGUUUACUUGGAAUUGGAAUGGACAAAAAUUGCAAUGAGUUGAAAUCAGAACAGGCUGGAAUUGAUCACAUGAGAAAUAAGAAUCAAAGUAAAUUAUAUACUUGAAUCGAAAUCAACAAAAUUCCAAUUGAUGUAUUUACUUUUGUCUUGUAAUCCAAAUAAGUUGUCACAAGUCAUAAAAAUGUCCUUAGUUCCACUCUUGCCAGAUGUCAUGAUGAUAUACGUUUCAUCCAUCUGGUAAGCGAAGGAGUUAUUGCAAGUUAAAAAAAUGUCCUUAGUUACAAUUAUGUAUUUUUCUAUGUAAAAUAAAUAAGCAAACAUUUUUAAAGAAACCAUUGGCAUAUUUAUUAUAAUAUUGAGUGUAAUACAAUGAGUUUUUGAGUAAACUAGUAGUUGUUGUUGUUAUUUUAAAUCGAUAAUAACUACUAUUAAUAUUAUUAUUGUAGGGAAAUUAAAGCCCUAACUUCUUAUUAAUUUAAUUCCUUCUUAUUACCAGAAGGGGAACCAAAGUUCAAAUACCAAGUUUUUGUUGCUGGCAGGACUCGAACCUACGCCCCUCAACUUUCUAGGUAUAGGUUCUCCCAUUAGAUUACAAGGUCGGCUUGUGUUAUUGUUACUACUAAUACUAUUAUUAUUAUAAUUGUUUAUUUUCUUAUUAGUAUAAUUAAUCUUAUUAAGAUUAUUUAAUUAUGUAAUAGGAAUAAAAUCAAAAUUUCAGAAAUUAAGGGAUAGUAAAAUAAUUAAUUUAGAAAAUAAAAAUCGCAAUCCCACCUUCUCAUAGAAAUAAGAUUCUCAUUCCCACCUUUAAAAUUUGGUGGGCCUCACAAAUUUCAUUCACAUUCUCAAAUAUCAAAUAAGCAAGUAAAUAAUGGAAUCAUUUCCGGUCUUCCAUUCUUGACUCCCAUUCCAAGAAGUUAAUAACCUUUAAUAGAACGUUCAAAUGAAAAGACUAGCCAGGCCUUGAGAAUUGACAUCCAUCAAUUAUCUCUUCCGUGUUAGAAAUAUAUGUUAUUUGUUUUGUCUUUUUUUUUUAAUUCAUAUAUUGUUGAAAAGUCAAAAUUGACGAUUUGUUUAUUCAAAUUGAUUGAAAAAUAAGAGGUGAGCCACAUGCAUAAUUGACUUUUGGAAGAGGUAGGAAUCGCAUGCAUGAUUUCUUUCAAAAAUGAAGAAUUUUUGUAACUUUAUGAAGACUUUUUUUAUGCAAUUGAAGAGUUUUUCAAAAGGUAGAAAUGGUGGCCCAAAUCAUUGAAAUAAUUGCAUGUAAAUUAGAUGUUAGGUGUUGGUGCCUAUAAAUAGAGAGCAUUUCUUCAUUUCAUUUCAUCCCAAAAAUUUGAGAGCUUAAGAGAAAUUGCAAGUGAAACAAUUAUAAAGUUCUGAGAGUGUGAGCAAUUGGAGAGUGUGUGUGAGAGUAUUUGGUGUAUUUAGGUUUUGGGAAAGUGAGGUUUUUCUACUUAAAUUUGUACUCUAAUAAUUGUUGGUAAUACAAUUAUUUUUCUUUUGCUCCCGUAGACGUAGGCAUAUUGCCGAACCACGUAAAAUUCUGUGUCUUUUAUUUUUCUGUGAUUAUUUGGUGCGCUUGAUUCUGUAUUCCGUGCACAACAUAUAUGAUCACUCUUGAAUCUCAAAAAGCAAAAAAAAAAAUCCCAUUAAAAAAGAUCCAUUGCAACUUGUAGACAAAUACAAAACAGAAAAAUUAGUAUUCCUAGUCCACUGCCCCGUUAAGAGACUAUCAUUUUUCUUACCUAUGAUCGAAGCUUCAUUUGGAGGAUAUGCUGUACAGAGUAGUUUUCCAAUCCAGUAUCUUGGAUUGGAGUUAUAAUCCGGGGGACAAUUUGUAGCCGUCGGAUCAAAUCCAAUGGCAACUUAUAUUUUUAUUUCAAAUAUUGAUUCCGACAGUAGGGCCCACAUGCAGACUUUUACAAUUUUUAAGGGUUCAGUUAUGUUGCAAGAGUUGUCAGGACCUCAAUUUUUAUCUUUUGUGAUUUAACUAAUGUAAAUUUAACAGAACGCCUUAUACUCUAUUUUAUUCAUAAAAUAUUAACAAAUAUUAUGAUACCUUUUACUUACAUACACUAUUAAAAUUCUAUUUAACACCUUACACUCUUUUUAUUUAUUAUUUUCAUAAAUAUUAAAGUAUUUAUUUGUUUACAUCCAACACUAAUAUUAACAAAAAGACAACAAUACCCUUAAAUUUAUAAACUAAAAAUAAAAUUUUAGAUUUGGAGCCAGCAAGUUUAAGGGACUCCAAAUCCAAGAUUGUGACUCUCUGUUGGUGCCUUUGACUACAAGUAACGCCAUGCCAUUGGCAGAAGUGGAUGGAUUCAUUCGACGAGCCUAAAGCACCAAGAGGAUCAUGGGUGAUCUUGGACUUGAAUUCAAGCAAGGCUAAUCGAUCUGUCCCGUUGCCAACAACUUCAGAAGCCCUCACACCAAGGAUUUCAGGAAUUAGAAUGGCGUGGAAGCUGAAGCAGAAUACAAGGACAGCAUACGCAACUAAAAAAGAGCAAGGGCAAGGCACUCUUAUGCUCAUGUUGAACGGAAAAUUUUUAUCUCGGAGUUGCAGGUAAAUGGUGGAAUGGAUUUGUCAAAAUUUAAGGUUCAACAAUCAAGAAUAUAGACAAAUGUAUUCACUCAGCAAGGCUCUAUCUGUAAUUAUUAUUAUGAUAAUAAUGUAACAUUCAUAAUUUUGUCAAACAGCUUUCGGAGGGUUUAAUAUUCAUUUAAGUUCGUAAAAAUCUAAAGUUCAUAAUUUUGUCAAACAGCUCUAUUUGUAAUACACUUGACUUGUUCUGGGAAAUUUCCCAGCCAAAGAACUUGCUUGUAAAAAUCUAAAGCAGCCUUAGCUAAAUAGUGAGCAAUAAAAUUACAGCUCCUAGAGACAUAUGUAAUUGAGGCCGAUGUCUGGACUUUCAUUUUUUCUUGAAUCUCUGCAAUUCUCCACGAAAUUUCAGCCUUGCUGCUCUUCUUACUUAAAUCUAGUUCCACCACUUCCUUUGAGUCUGAUUCAAGGAUCAAAGGGAAGCAAUCUGCUUGUUGAGCACUUUGAAAACCGAGCAGCAUAGCUUCAGCUUCCAUACAAGCUACAUUUUCUUGAUAUGGGAUUCCCUGGACUGCUGCAGCAACAACUUUGCCUCUGCAAUUUCUAAUAACUGCUCCCAGCCCUGCUUUUUGUUUUGAGACAUUGAUUGCCGCAUCAACAUUAACUUUGAACCACCCAUUUGGAGGAGUAGUCCAUUCCAACUUUCUGUUCUUGCUGUGCUCUGGAAUGGCUUGGGCAUUUGGGAUUUAAUUCGUCAGUACGACUCCACUAUAGCUCCUGCUCUGGCAAAAGAUUGCUUCGGAUCUUCAUCCUUCCCUUAAAAAAAAAAACGAUUUCUGGAAUACCAGAUAGCCCAGCACACAGCAACAAAAAACUCCAGAUCCUUCUUUCUUCUCUUCAAAGCUACAUCUUGAAUCACACUUAACAUGUCCUGACGAGCCAACUGUUUAACUUCCUCAUCAAGAUCUGUAAAUUUCCAAAUCCUCCUCGCUGCUUUGCACUCCACUAAAGCAUGGAAAACAUCCUCACCUCUGCACUUGCACCUUUGACAAAAGGGAUCCGACACUACUUUCCUCCUCCAUAGAUUAUGCAUUGUUGGUAACAAUUCUUUCCGUCCUUGACGACCAAGAUCAGUCGGUAAUUGGUGCCGGAAACCAUCUUAGUCUCACCCUUCUCCACGCUCUUGAACUUGAACUCGUUCUUUGACUGUUUUUUUUGUACUCAUCACUGCAAACAGCCCGAUCUCUGUCACGUGCGGCUUGCUGAGGUCUUCUUUCGACUUCCAUCCCCCAACUAAGACUCCUUUACGAUCGCCGGCGGCCAGGAGAGGGGUUGUUGCCAUGGCUUUUCACGACCACAAAAUACGUAAUCCCUGCACCUUAUCCAUUUUCUUCUAACACUUGUCAAGAAGGGUAAUUUUGUCCUUUUAAGAUUUAUAAACAAAAUAUAAAUAAAAUUAGUGCAGGUGUUCAAGUAAAUUUGACAACAUUUAAAUUAUAAAAGACAAAAGUUAGGGUACGACAGUUGCAACAUAGCCGAGUCCAUUUUUAAUAUUAAAAAGUAAAGCUGCUUUUAAAUAGAGAACUGAUAUUCCCUCCCCAGAUUCUUCAUCAUCUGACUAAAGCCAAAAAGAACUGAUACUAACAAAUCACCAUUUGGGAUUUCCACUUUUUCAUUAUCCAUUUUAGUACAACUUAAAUCAAGGGGGGAAAAGGAAUAAAACAAGCAGAUGAUUACACAUGCACACUGAUUUCCAUUUUGUCACCAUUUCUUGCCGAUGUUGCCGUAAUUCUUUUUUUUUUUUGGUUUAUCUCAAACUUUGUAAUUUUAUUAAUAUUGAGGGCAUAAAAAACAACGAGUUCAUGAUCCAUCUGAUUUUAGUAAAUCAAUCAGGUGAGCUUUGCUAUUAACUUUCCUUCACCGGCAACUAUAGAGAAGUGCUGGAGCAGGAUCUCCAGACUCCAGUCAGGCAUCAACAUCCAUCAAAAACUCACAAAACUUUCUCUCUUAAUCGCCUUUACAGACUCUUCGUUUCUCAUUUUUCUCGCUUUCUUCUUCUUCGAAAGCAGCGAGCCCUUCCAAUCCCUUCUUUUGUGGCUCUCCUUUUCCCUCUUCAUUCGCCCCUUCGCCAUCGCUCAACUCACCUGCGGUCACACUGCGUCGGUCACAGCCCAAUCAUUGAAACCCCUCAUAUCCAGAUCCAAAGAUUAAAAGGAAGCCUUAGAAGUCGCAAAAGAACCGAUCUUUAAACCCCCCACAGUUCGGUUCUGAUCGUUAAAAACUCAAAUGUGUCAAUUCGAAUUGAGUAAAAAGAGAAGAAAUUUGAAGUCUUGGAGGAAUGAAAUGGAGAGGAUAUUCAGAUUCUGAAAAGCAGUGAUGAAGAAACCGAUGGGGAAGAUCAGUUCUCUCUCUAAAAAUUUAUUAGGCAACUUUUUUUUUUAAUAUUAAAAAUUAUAAAAAUCUGCAUGUAGACCCUUAUGUUGGAAUCAAUAUUUGAAAUUAAAAUAUAAGUUGCCGUUGGAUUUGAUCCGACGGCUACAAAUUGUCUCCCGGAUCUUGGAUUGGAAAACUACUCAUGCUGUAAAAAUGAUUUAGCUCAUGUGAUUAAUAAAUAUAUACGAUCAUAAUUAAUUUCCAGCUUCUGGGGAAGUUAAAAAAUCCUUAUUUUUCCAUUUGUGUUUUAUGCAUGGUUUUUUACAAUUUUAUAUUUAAGUUUAAUAAAUUGAAUAGUACGUGCGUAUCAUUUCAUUUUGUUUAUGUUUAUGUCUCCAUCUUUAAUUUUAAGGACGCUAUAUAUAUUAACUCAUAUUUCCAACAGCCGUACUUUAAUAGGAACAAGAAGACAUGAUUUCUAUUAGAUCAUAUUCGACAGAUUUCUAAAAUUAUACCAAUAUAAAUUCAUUAUUAGUUAGAUGAGAAAUAAGAAAUUUAAUUACAACAAAUGAUUUACAACGAUGACCCAAGUAAACACUCAGUCAAGUCAAUGGAUAAAUUAACUCGCGUCACUGUUUCGUCACUAUUAUUUUUUCGGCUCAAUUAUGAUUACACUUGGAAUCUGUAAGCUGCAGCAUCAGCCGUUGGAUGUGGAGUGAGAAACUAAACAAUAGAAAAUGGGAUGGUGCGAGAUGUUUGACAGAUAAAGCCUCUGUAAUUAGUAUUUUUUUCGGCUCAAUUAUGAUUAUUACAGUUGGAAUCUCGGAGCCAGCAAAAAAUUAUCCGUUGAUGACAACCGAUUGCAACUUAUAGACAGAUACCAAAAAUAUAAUUAGUAUUCAAUGUCCUUUGUGAAGUUCUACACGUAAUUUAGCCGGUGGGGUUUUUCGAAAUUAUUGAUUAUUCUUUCCUUUGAAAUUAAUAUAAAAAAACAGCUCCAUAAUUUUUCUGUGUAAUUUAAAACUAUUGCAUGACGUUUUCUAUUCGGCCAUCCAUUAUUUAAUUGAUAACGGCCCAGCAUGCAUAUGGCUAGAAAUUCGCUUCUUCUAUUCUAAUUAAAUUUCAUGUAAACUUUUCUCAGUUCUCAGUGUUUGCCGAUAUAUUGAAGACCAUAAUAAUAAUAAUUAUUAUUAUUAUUAUGAUGAUGAUGAUGUAUUACAUCCCAAAUUGCCUUCGUUAUAAUAUUUGGCCCUAAAACUAAUAAAAAUAAAGAGUUGUACUAUUGCAUAAUUGUAAAUCUAUGACAAAUGAAAAUUAUUUAUUGGUAAUAGUUGCAUAACCCAAAUAAUAAUUAUUUUAAUGGUAUCAAAAUCUAGUUCAAAUGGCACUAAAGUACGGCGGUGAAAUUUUUUUAUUUUAAUUAUAAAAAUUUAAAUUAUUAAUUAAAUAUAAAUAAUAAUAAAAUAUAAAUGAAUCUUAGAUUAUUCCUAGUUUCCUACAAUUUUGGUGGGUCCCGACAUUAGGCGGAAGUGUACAUUGCCAUAAGAAGUCAAGAACGACUUUGGUGGGUCCCGACAUUAUUCCUACAUUUUAAGUCUUCGGCUCAUUUAUUUCCCAUUUUCUUUAUCUUUUUCAUAAACAUAUUUUCUAACCAUUGGUUUUUAUUUCUUAAAUACGACGGUUUGACUCCAGAAGCAUUGACUUUCAGUUCAAUGCCGUUAAAGAUGGAUCAUUAGUCACGGUAUUAGCAUCUAUAGAGUUUGUUAGAGAGAGAUCUAAACCAAUACACAAAUGGGUGUACUUUCAGGUCAGUGCCCUCCAAUAUGGAUUAUCAGUCAUGGUGUUUAAUUAUAUUUAUUUAAUUUGUUAGAGAGAGCUCUACGCCUAUAGAGUAUAACAAAUGGAUGUACUUUCGUUUUCGUUCGUCUGUUGUAAGUUACUGUUUUUUUUGUCUAAAUCCUCUUUCACUUCCGACACCAUUACUUCAUUUCAGUCCCUCAGCGAUGGCAGGACCUUAGUUUCGAAAGAAGGAAGCUUUGAGCUUGGUUUCUUCAGUCCUGGUAGUUCCAAGAAUCGUUACGUAGGGAUUUGGUACAAAAAUAUGCCAGUUAAAACUGUUGUUUGGGUUGCAAAUCGAAUCAACCACAUUAAUGACUCUUCUGGCUUGUUAGUUGUAAACAAGACGGGCAAUCUUGUUUUAACAAGCCAGAACAAGAGUGUAGUUUGGUCAGCAAACUUGAGCAAAGAAGUCCGGACUCCAGUUGUAUUGCAGCUACUAGAUUCAGGAAAUCUUGUCCUCAGAGGUGAACGAGAUGGCGGUUCUGAAACUUAUUUAUGGCAAAGCUUUGAUUAUCCUUCUGAUAAUUUGCUACCAGGAUGAAGCUCGGAUGGGAUUUCAAGGCUGGUCUUGAGCGGCGUAUAACAUCAUGGAAGAGCUCAGACGACCCGUCUCCCGGAAACUUUAUUUGGAAAACUGAACGACAAGAUAACCCUGAGUUAGUCAUGUGGAAGGGAUCAAGAAAGUUUUAUAGGACUGGCCCCUGGAAUGGCCUUAUAUUCAGUGCUUCAUCACUCAGGCUUAACCCAAUUUUUAAGUAUCGCUUUGUCUUCAAUGAGGAUGAGCUGUACUACACAUUCUACCUCACAGAUAAAGAUGUUAUCUCAAGGACUGUUAUGAACCAAACACUCUAUUUACGUCAACGAUUCAUAUGGAAUAAAGCAACUAAAAGUUGGGAGUUGAAUGCAAAUGUGCCAAGAGAUCUAUGUGACACUUACGCCCUUUGUGGCGCCUAUGGCAUUUGCAUCAUUAGCAAAUCGCCUGUUUGCCAAUGUUUAAAAGGUUUCAAACCUAAAUCAGAGGUUUAUGUGGAACGGUCUCAAGGGUGCGUACGUACUAAGCCGUUAAACUACUCUCGACGUGAUGGUUUUGUCAAAUUUAAUGAUCUGAAAUUGCCAGAUUCUACUUCCUCUUGGGUUAGCAAAAGUAUGAAUCUCAAUGAAUGCCGGGAGAAAUUCUUAGACAACUCUUCUUGGAUGGCAUACGCAAAUUCAGAUAUCAGAGGAGAAGGCAGUGGCUGUGCCAUGUGGUUUGGCGAUCUGAUUGACAUGCGAAGCGUUCCAGAUGCUGGGCAGGACUUCUAUAUUCGAAUGUCUGCUUCAGAGCUAGGUAUCCGUUUACUUGUUUAAGUUACUCCAUUAUGAGAACUUAGGAGUGCCACUCCAGUUAGAUUAGUUCCAUAUUUUUAUUGUGUAAUUUAGUAAUGAGUUCAGAUUGAGAUGCUCCUUUCACAAAAAGCAGUUUCUGGGUAUGGCUUCUGUGCAUAGAAUUCUGCUGCUAUUUGAAUCAUUUUUUCUUAGCUAUAUGAUUAUUGACUUGCUUUGCUAUAUCUGAAUAUGCUGAUCAAGGAGCGAAAGGUGAGCCUAGGACGAAGAUAGUGGUGAUAGUCAUUUCUACUGCUGCUCUGUUAGCUGUGGUGCUUAUAGCUGGCUACUUGGUUCACAAAAGGAGAAAUAUAGUGGGUAUAAUAUUGCUCCAUUUUCCUUCACAAAUUUUCGUUGACGAUUUGAUGCAGGAAAAUCAAACUCUUAUAAAUAUUAAAUUUACAACAGUCGAUUAAGUUUUUAUAUGCAACAAUAAUUGUAUGUUUGUUUCAAGAUGAAGAGUUAACAGUGCAUAUCAUUUAGAUCAGGGGCAAGGUAAUUAAACUUGUAAAUUUUUCACCUAUGGUUCUUUAUUUACUUGCACUUUCAUAUUGACUGGAAUAUAGCUUUAAUACAAAUUUACAGAAAAAGAACCUUCUCAUCAAGAACAUGAAAAUUGUAUACGUACUGCAUAUGUGCUUUCAGUUAAUAAUAUCCAAUAUUUCAGAGAAAACAGAAAACAACAGGGAAACUGAUCAGGUUCAAAACAUGGACCUGGAGCUACCACUGUUUGAGUUAGCUACAAUUGCUAAUGCCACCGAUAACUUUUCAAUCAACAACAAGCUUGGAGAAGGUGGCUUUGGACCUGUUUACAAGGUAAACUUGAAACUUGCCAGUCAAAAAUAAUUAUUUUACCGGGUAACUAAAUUCACAUAUAUGUCUGGGCAGGGCACGCUAGUGGAUGGGCAGGAAAUUGCUGUGAAGAGGCUUUCGAAGAUUUCAUAGCAAGGAUUGAAGGAGUUAAAGAAUGAAGUUAUACUAUUUUCCAAAUUACAGCACAUAAAUCUUGUAAAGCUUCUUGGCUGCUGCAUUCAGGGAGAGGAGAAACUGUUGAUUUAUGAAUUCGUGCCGAACAAAAGCCUGGACUCUUUCAUUUUUGGUCUGGGUCCCUAUAACCUUAAAAUAUUCGGCUAGCUUGUGCCUUGAUUAUAGACGUUUCUUAUGUAUUUUCAGAAAAUUUUGUACUAACCUUAAUGUGGUAAUUUGUAGAUCAAGAAAGAUGUAAGAUAUUGGAUUGGUCCAAGCGUUUCCACAUUAUUUGUGGGACUGCUAGGGGUGUUAUGUACCUUCAUCAAGAUUCUAGAUUGAGGAUUAUACAUCGAGAUCUCAAAGCAAGUAAUGUGCUACUCGAUCAAGAUAUGAACCCAAAAAUUUCGGAUUUUGGUUUGGCAAGAGCUUUUGGUGGAGACGAGACAGAAGGAAAUACAAACUGCGUAGUUGGAACAUAGUAAGUAUUUUUUUGUCAUGUGAUCUUUACGAUUCACUUACAUUGAUUAAUGAAAAUUAACUUAUAUAUUUAAUCUUUUGAAGCGGUUAUAUGGCACCGGAAUAUGCUAGUGAUUGGCAAUUCUCAGUAAAAUCCGAUGUCUUCAGCUUUGGAAUUUUAUUGCUGGAGAUAAUAAGUGGAAAGAAAAAUAGAGGAUUUUAUCAUUCCGACAACAAGCUUAACCUUAUAGGACAUGUAAGUAAAAUGCAUAUGACAUUUUCUAACAUAGUUUGAACUAAUAAACUAUAGAUGAUAAAAGAGUUUUAAUAUGUUGUAGGCAUGGAAGUUGUGGAACGAAGGCAUGCCUUCACAAUUAAUCGAUCCAUGUAUUCAAGACUCAUUCAAUCUUGCUGAAGUGAUACGAUGCAUCCACAUCGGUUUGUUAUGCGUGCAACAGCAUCCAAAGGACAGGCCAAGCAUGCCCUCAGUGAUUUUGAUGUUGGGCAGCGAGACUGUGUUGCCUCAGCCAAAGCAACCCGGUUACUUGGCGCACAGGAAAUCUACCGGACAAGAUUAUUCAUCAAGCACGCCUGAAUCAUGUUCAACUAAUACAAUUACGAUCUCUGAGUUGGAGGGUCGGUAGAGAAUCUAUUUGUGGUAUCAUGCCUUGUUCUACAUUGUCAAGUGCAAAAGCAGUAAUAUGUCAACCAAAUGGAAAGUUAAGAUAAAUGAUUGGAUAAAAAAUGAUGAGGAUCAUCCAGUGAAUGCAUGUUGUGGAUCUAAAAGUUCAGAGGACAUGCCAAUUUUGCAGCUGACUACUUGGCUAAAAAUGCAGGCUCUAUACCUCUCGGAUUUCAUGUUUAUCAAGAACCUCCUGUAGGUCAUGAUCCUUGGCUUUGUUAUGAUAUGUAUGGGACAAUGAUUCCCCGCUCGGUUGUGUCUUAGCUUGGCUAAGCCUUUUUUUGGUUAAAAAAAAAAAUAGAAUGUAGACUGAUGUUCAUAUAGAAAUUGUAAAUUAGAGGUACUGUGAGCAGUGUUGGGUUCAAAAAAUGAUUAACCGAGAAUUAAAUUAAAUAAAAGCAAGACGUUAUAAUUUUUUUGAUGUAAAAUAUUUACUAAUACAUUUAUGAGAAUAUCUUUGGUGCUUUUGGAGCAUUUUUAUCUAUUCACAAUUUAUCACUUGUGUAUAUAUGUCAUCAUGAUUAGUAGAAGCAUACACAUGACAAAGAGUAAAUGAAAAAGGAGAAGCUCUCCAAGAGUACCCAAGAUUUUUCCUACAUUUUAAAAACCAUGUGUAAUAUUCUCAUUAUCAAUACUAUUAAGUACGUCCUUUUCUACAUAAACAACAAAAUUAAUAUUGAUCCAUUCAUCUCUCAUUCAAUUUCAGCGUUAAUUCUUCAUGAACUUAAUUGCUGAAAACGUUCUCUCUACGGUGGUUGUGGGAACCGGAAGAAUUAUAACUAAGUGUCACCAACGAAUAUAUUAAUACUGUAAUGGAUACUCUUUAUCUUUUUUAGUCUCAAACUAUUCUUUUAGCAACGUAUUGAUUCCCUUCACUCCUGCAAACCCGUCUAAUUGUUCUUUCCUAAUUUAACACAAGCCCUUAUUUUCUUUUGAGAACAAGAAAGAUAAAAUUUGUGAUUGGAGGGGUGGCUAAUUAUUGUUUUUAAUAAAUUUGAAUCUAUUUUUUGAAAUAGAAGAAUGUUUUGGGUUGUGAGUUAUUAUUAUUUUUAAAUAAAGCGUGAGUUUAAAAGUUCAAGUUAAAAUUUAAAAUUUGUAGGUUUAUGAAUGUAUGGAUGCUAUUUUAAUAGAUUGAUGAAGGUUAAUUAGAAACCCAAAUAUUUUUUUCUUUUUUUUCUAUUUUUUGUCUUUCACAUGCUAAAUCCACCACUCAUACCGAUAAGAAUUGUGAUGAUUUAUUUUUAUCCUAAUGAUCAUAAUAAAAAUCUUUUAAAAAUUUUACUAUUUUAUCAAAAUUAUUAUUUAAAAAUUAUAUUUACCCCAACUUUUUUUAACUACAAUUAUUUUUUCACCAGGACUGUAACUUUUAAUAUAACUUAGGUUAUCAAAAUUUUGAGCUUCAUUCAACCAACCAUAACUAUCAUGAUCAAAGUCUACGUUGCUCAAGUCAAGAAAGACUUUAAUGGGAGAGAGAGAAUUAUUAUUAUCGACAUUACAAAUGGACCCCAAUUAUAUCUAAAGUCUUUGGGCUCCUGUCUCGUUUUCUUCUUCUUUUUCAAAACCCUAUUUACUAACCAUUAAUUUGGUUGGUUGAUGAAUCCGGCGGUUUCUGAUUUUCUUAUUUAUUUUUAUGCCAGUGACCCCGUAACGAUAGCAUUGCAAUCUCAUGAAAAAUGGACACCCGUCAACAAAAAUCUUUUUGUUAAGUAAUCUACUGAUUAUAAUAACCCAUGACCAAAAAUAUUGGACAUGUCUUCCUUUUUUUUAGUAAUUAUACACUCACAUCACACUUUUACGAUUAACUGACUAAACAUGUAUGAUAAACGAUUUUAUAAUAGAUUGUCUCACAAUCUAAAUUUACCAAAUAUCUUCAGAAAUUAUUUGUGAAGUUGAUUACUUCAAAAGUCAAGUUUGAAUAUUAAUUAAUUGUGAGAAUAUUCGAAUUAAAUCCAUAAAAUUCUUUUAAAAUUUUCUUUAAAGCUUAUAACAUACUUUUCAAAAAGUCUGUCGAGUACUAAUUCAGAAAUUUAUUUCAAUAUAUAUUAAGAAAAUUUAUUUGGUUAAGAGAAAUGAGCCCCUUUUGAGUUGGUGAAGCCUGAGCUCAUCAUUAGGCAAGCCAUCAAAUUAUUCAAUAAACACAUUUGUCCCACACAUCCAUAAUUAAUUAAAAGGAUGGAAUUAUUUGAACUUAUGCAAUUUCUCAUAACAUCCAUUUAUUUAAUAUAUCCCCUAUCAAGAUCUUAAAAUUAAAUUUUAACUCUAUAAACCGCUUAAUACCCCACAAAUAACCGAUUUAUGGUGGGUGCAAUAAUUUAGAUAAUUAAAUUAUUUAUUGUUUUUGGUAAUUUUUAUUUAAGAUUAUUUUUGUAAUAUAAAUUUUUAUUUAAAAAUAAGUCUAAGGUGCAUUUUUAUGGGGCCCAAAUGACAUUAAAAUUAGAAGAAUUAAAUUUUACCAUAUAAAAGUAAAACCUCUUGAAAUUCCUAAAGUAUCCUUGAUUAGAUUUCUUUUUAAUUUUAAUAUUUUCUCUCUGCCAUAGAAGUUGCUAUGUCCUUUCUUGGUAAGAUGCUCUGUUCAGGCUUCAAUGUUGUUAGCUUGAAUUGGCAAUUGAACUCGAAUCAAUUCUCAUGCAUGGGUUGGGGAAUUUGCUCAACUUAUAAUUGGUAGGUUUAUGCCUCUGACCAAACUCAUUUCGCCUCUCCAAGAAUCUGCAAAAUUAAUUGGUAUUAUCAUGUCGGUGCUGCUUAUAAUUAGUAGUGCCCGCAUUGCUCUGAAUUCAGGCAUUGCUUGAGUAGAGUUGGGCUUUGCUGAUUCAUUUUAGUGACACUUAAAAACACUUAAAAAAAUCAGGACUUGUUUGUCGAAAUUUACAAAUAUUUUGUUCUUUAAUUAAUUUUUAUUAUAUCAAACAAUAGGACUGCAGUGUAGUUAAACCAGUUGCUUACACCUGGGAAACAUAGUUUUGUGUUCUUAUUUUUUUUUAUUGUUUGUGAGAUGGCAAGUGAUAUAUAUGUCUUUUUAAAAUUUUCAAUUAUUGGGGCAACGAACAUGGUAAAUAAUUUGCGGUGGAAAAGGUACCAAUAUUGACUCAAUAUGUCAAAUUUCUAGAAAAUUUUAGCAUCAAAUGCCUUUUUUCCAUUGUUGUGAGUAUAAGUCAAAUUUCUUGCAAAUUUUCUAUGGGUGUGACGAUUUUUUUUUGGAGUGCAAACGGCCCACCCUUCACCUAUUCAUAGAGAAUUUUACAAUAUUAAAUAGAGAAUUUUGAGUCCAGAAGCAAUCGCUUUCAGGUCAGUGCCCUCCAAGAUGGAUUAUCAGUCAUGGUGUUUAAUUAUAUUUAUUUAAUUUGUUAGAGAGAGCUCUACGCCUAUAGAGUAUAACAAAUGGAUGUACUUUCGUUUUCGUUCAUCUGUUGUAAGCUACUGUUUUUCUUGUCUGAAUCCUCUUUUGCUUCCGACACCAUUACUUCAUCUCAGUCCCUCAGCGAUGGCAGGACCUUAGUUUCAAAAGAUGGAAGCUUUGAGCUUGGUUUCUUCAGUCCUGGUAGUUCCAAGAAUCGUUACGUGGGAAUUUGGUACAAAAAUAUGCCAGUUAAAACUGUUGUUUGGGUUGCAAACCGAAUCAACCCCAUUAAUGACUCUUCUGGGUUGUUAGUUGUAAACGAGACGGGCAAUCUUGUUUUAACCAGCCAGAACAAGAGUGUAGUUUGGUCAGCAAACUUGAGCAAAGAAGUCCGGACUCCAGUUAUAUUCCAGCUACUAGAUUCAGGAAAUCUUGUCCUCAGAGGGGAACGAGAUGGCGAUUCUGAAACUUAUUUAUGGCAAAGCUUUGAUUAUCCUUCUGAUACAUUGCUACCGGGAAUGAAGCUCGGAUGGGAUUUGAAGACUGGUCUUGAGCGGCGUAUAACAUCAUGGAAGAGCUCAGACGACCCGUCUCCUGGAGACUUUACUUGGGCACUUGAACGACAAGAUAACCCUGAGUCAAUCUUCUGGAAGGGAUCAAGAAAGUUAACUAGGAGUGGCCCAUGGAAUGGCCUUAGAUUCAGUGCUUCAUCAUUAAGGCAAAACCCCGUUUUUAACUUCAGCUUUGUCUCAAAUGAGGAUGAGCUGUACUACACCUUCGACUUGAUAGAUAAAGCUGUUUUCUCAAGGAUGGUUAUGAACCAAACACUCUACUUACGUCAACGAUUCAUAUGGAAUAAAGCAACUAAAAGUUGGGACUUGAAUUCAAAUGUGCCGAGAGAUCUAUGUGACACUUAUGCCCUUUGUGGUGCCUAUGGCAUUUGCAUCAUUAGCGAUAUGCCUGUUUGCCAAUGUUUAAAAGGCUUUAAACCAAAGUCAAGGGGAUAUGUGGACUGGUCUCAAGGGUGUGUGCGUGAUAAGUCGUUAAACUACUCUAGACAAGAUGGCUUCAUCAAAUUCACUGCGAUGAAAUUGCCAGAUGCUACUCUUUCUUGGGUGAGCAAAAGUAUGAAUCUCAAUGAAUGCCGGGAGAAAUGCUUAGACAACUCUUCUUGUAUGGCAUACACAAAUUCAGAUAUCAGAGGAGAAGGCAGUGGCUGUGCCAUGUGGUUUGGUGAACUGAUUGACAUGAGAGACUUUCCAGAUGGUGGGCAGGACUUGUAUAUUCGAAUGUCUGCUUCGGAGAUAGGUACCCGCAAACUUGUUUAUGUCACUCCAUUAUGAGAACUUAGGAGUACCACUCCAGUUAGACUAGUUGCACAUUUUUAUUGUGCAAUUUAGUAUUGAGUUCUGAUUGAGAAGCUCCUUUCGCAUAAAGCAGUUUCUGGGUAUAGCUUCUAUGCAUAGAAUUUUGCUGCUAUUUGAAUCAUUUGAUUAUUGACUUGCUUUGCUAUAUCUGAAUACGGCGAUCAAGGAGCGAAAGGUGAGCCUAGGACGAAGAUAGUGGUGAUAGUCAUUUCUACUGCUGCUCUGUCAGCUGUGGUGAUUGCAGGUGGCUACUUGGUUCACAAAAGAAGGAGAAAUAUAGUAGGUAUAAUAUUGCUCCAUUUUCCUUCACAAAUUCUCGCUAACGAUUUGAUGCAGGCAAAUCAAACUCUUAUAAAUAUUAAAUUUAUAAGAGUAGAUUAAAUUUUUAUAUGCAGCAAUAACUGUAUAUUUGUUUCAAGAUGAAGAGUUAUCAGUGCAUAUCAUUUAGAUCAGGGGCAAGGUAAUUAAAGUUGUAAAUUUUUCGUUUUGAUAGCAUGCUUACUUAUUUGCAUUUAGUGUUAUAUUAAUACACGCCUCUUUUUCACCUAUGGUUCUUUAUUUACUUGCACUUUCAUACUGACUGGAAAAUAUCUUUAAUACAAAUUUACAGAUAAAGAACUUCUCAUCCAGAACAUGAAAAUUGUAGUUACUAGUUAGGAGUUUAAUAUUGUCCAGUAUACGCAUAUGUGCUUUCAGUUAAUAUUAUCCAAUAUUUCAGAGAAAACAGAAAACAACAGGGAAACUGAUCAGGUUCAAAACAUGGACCUGGAGCUACCACUGUUUGAGUUAGCUACAAUUGCUAAUGCCACCAAUAACUUUUCAAUCAACAACAAGCUUGGAGAAGGUGGCUUUGGACCUGUUUACAAGGUAAACUUGAAACUUGCCAGUCAAAAAUAAUUAUUUUACCGGGUAACUAAAUUCACAUAUAUGUCUGGGCAGGGCACGCUAGUGGAUGGGCAGGAAAUUGCUGUGAAGAGGCUUUCGAAGAUUUCUGAGCAAGGAUUGAAGGAGUUAAAGAAUGAAGUUAUACUAUUUUCCAAAUUACAGCAUAGAAAUCUUGUAAAGCUUCUUGGCUGCUGCAUUCAGGGAGAGGAGAAACUGUUGAUUUAUGAAUUCGUGCCGAACAAAAGCCUGGACUCUUUCAUUUUUGGUCUGGGUCCCUAUAACCUUAAAAUAUUCAGCUAGCUUGUGCCUUGAUUAUAGACGUUUCUUAUGUAUUUUCAGAAAAUUUUGUACUAACCUUAAUGUGGUAAUUUGUAGAUCAAGAAAGAUGUAAGAUAUUGGAUUGGUCCAAGCGUUUCCACAUUAUUUGUGGGACUGCUAGGGGCCUUCUGUACCUUCAUCAAGAUUCUAGAUUGAGGAUUAUACAUCGAGAUCUCAAAGCAAGUAAUGUGCUACUCGAUCAAGAUAUGAACCCAAAAAUUUCAGAUUUUGGUUUGGCAAGAGCUUUUGGUGGAGACGAAACAGAAGGAAAUACAAACAGAGU
This 25298-nucleotide long non-coding RNA is filed under the name Citrus sinensis (sweet orange). Its description in RNAcentral is "long non-coding RNA (CSIN_LNC001685)". The record is from RNAcentral. Lineage: Eukaryota; Viridiplantae; Streptophyta; Magnoliopsida; Sapindales; Rutaceae.